RNAcentral lists this long non-coding RNA (243 nucleotides) under Mytilus galloprovincialis (Mediterranean mussel). The record is from RNAcentral. Lineage: Eukaryota; Metazoa; Mollusca; Bivalvia; Mytilida; Mytilidae.
GUCUGAUUGCAGAUGACAUAUUUUCUAGUUGCUAAAACCAGGGAGUGUAAAAAGAUUAUAGGUUACCGUAAGUAAUGCAAUGCGCAAUAAGUUUUGCAUGUAUUUAAAUCGUGCAGUAAUAAAAAGCUUUGACAUGACAACAUUCUUAAGUUAUUUACAUGAUGGCUGUCCACAUGUAACGGUAGCUAAUGCAUUGUAACGUGUAUGUGAAUAUAAUCGUAUAAGUAUAACUGAUGUAUGAUA